CAGCCGCCGCGGGAAUACGUAGGUGGCAAGCGUUGUCCGGAAUUACUGGGCGUAAAGCGUGCGCAGGCGGUUUUGUAAGACAGGCGAGAAAUCCCCGGGCUCAACCUGGGAAUGGCGCUUGUGACUGCAAAGCUAGAGUGCGGCAGAGGGGGAUGGAAUUCCGCGUGUAGCAGUGAAAUGCGUAGAUAUGCGGAGGAACACCGAUGGCGAAGGCAAUCCCCUGGGCCUGCACUGACGCUCAGCACGAAAGCGUGGGGAGCAAACAGGAUUAGAUACCGCGUAGUCCCUGUCUCUUAUACAC
RNAcentral lists this ribosomal RNA (301 nucleotides) under uncultured bacterium. RNAcentral's name for it is "partial 16S ribosomal RNA". It matches the Rfam family "Bacterial small subunit ribosomal RNA", at positions 509 to 809 of the family's 1533-position model. The record is from RNAcentral.